CGGAACCGCGCACACCGCGACCACCCCGCCCCCACCCUCCCGCCGCAGCGCUCCCUCCCCGCCGCAGCGCAGCCGCCGCCCCCGGGAACCUCAUCACUUCCGGUGGCUCUUCAGCUUUUCCGAAGAUAAGGGGAAUAAAGAAGUCACCUCCCCAGCUGUCAUCAUCCGGCAGCAGAUUGAGCAAGAAGAUUCUGAGCACUGCAGAGAAGACAACCCAUCAACCCGAAGAUGAUGAGCAGCCCUGUGACCUCUUCAAGACAAGGAAUAGGAUGAGGGACUGUCAACAGAAAAGCAGCAGUAUAAAUGCUGGCUCAUCCUGGAAUCAAGUACAACCUUUAAAGAUAUCUUCGGGGAAAAGGCCGAGUGAACUGCAAGGACCCCGUGUCUCUUCCCAGCCAAGGAGCAGCCUUCUUGGAAUCUCCCAGCCAGCAGCAGAUAAACUUGUGGAAACCAUUCCCAGGGAGGGAAGACAGGAGCAGGCCGAGCUCAGCUCCAGGUAUC
This 501-nucleotide long non-coding RNA is filed under the name Rattus norvegicus (Norway rat). RNAcentral describes it as "long non-coding RNA NONRATT020085". Lineage: Eukaryota; Metazoa; Chordata; Mammalia; Rodentia; Muridae. The record is from RNAcentral.